UUAAGCGACUAAGCGUACACGGUGGAUGCCCUGGCAGUCAGAGGCGAUGAAGGACGUGCUAAUCUGCGAUAAGCGUCGGUAAGGUGAUAUGAACCGUUAUAACCGGCGAUUUCCGAAUGGGGAAACCCAGUGUGAUUCGUCACACUAUCAUUAACUGAAUCCAUAGGUUAAUGAGGCGAACCGGGGGAACUGAAACAUCUAAGUACCCCGAGGAAAAGAAAUCAACCGAGAUUCCCCCAGUAGCGGCGAGCGAACGGGGAGGAGCCCAGAGCCUGAAUCAGUGUGUGUGUUAGUGGAAGCGUCUGGAAAGGCGCGCGAUACAGGGUGACAGCCCCGUACACAAAAAUGCACAUGCUGUGAGCUCGAUGAGUAGGGCGGGACACGUGGUAUCCUGUCUGAAUAUGGGGGGACCAUCCUCCAAGGCUAAAUACUCCUGACUGACCGAUAGUGAACCAGUACCGUGAGGGAAAGGCGAAAAGAACCCCGGCGAGGGGAGUGAAAAAGAACCUGAAACCGUGUACGUACAAGCAGUGGGAGCACGCUUAGGCGUGUGACUGCGUACCUUUUGUAUAAUGGGUCAGCGACUUAUAUUCUGUAGCAAGGUUAACCGAAUAGGGGAGCCGAAGGGAAACCGAGUCUUAACUGGGCGUUAAGUUGCAGGGUAUAGACCCGAAACCCGGUGAUCUAGCCAUGGGCAGGUUGAAGGUUGGGUAACACUAACUGGAGGACCGAACCGACUAAUGUUGAAAAAUUAGCGGAUGACUUGUGGCUGGGGGUGAAAGGCCAAUCAAACCGGGAGAUAGCUGGUUCUCCCCGAAAGCUAUUUAGGUAGCGCCUCGUGAAUUCAUCUCCGGGGGUAGAGCACUGUUUCGGCAAGGGGGUCAUCCCGACUUACCAACCCGAUGCAAACUGCGAAUACCGGAGAAUGUUAUCACGGGAGACACACGGCGGGUGCUAACGUCCGUCGUGAAGAGGGAAACAACCCAGACCGCCAGCUAAGGUCCCAAAGUCAUGGUUAAGUGGGAAACGAUGUGGGAAGGCCCAGACAGCCAGGAUGUUGGCUUAGAAGCAGCCAUCAUUUAAAGAAAGCGUAAUAGCUCACUGGUCGAGUCGGCCUGCGCGGAAGAUGUAACGGGGCUAAACCAUGCACCGAAGCUGCGGCAGCGACGCUUAUGCGUUGUUGGGUAGGGGAGCGUUCUGUAAGCCUGUGAAGGUGUGCUGUGAGGCAUGCUGGAGGUAUCAGAAGUGCGAAUGCUGACAUAAGUAACGAUAAAGCGGGUGAAAAGCCCGCUCGCCGGAAGACCAAGGGUUCCUGUCCAACGUUAAUCGGGGCAGGGUGAGUCGACCCCUAAGGCGAGGCCGAAAGGCGUAGUCGAUGGGAAACAGGUUAAUAUUCCUGUACUUGGUGUUACUGCGAAGGGGGGACGGAGAAGGCUAUGUUGGCCGGGCGACGGUUGUCCCGGUUUAAGCGUGUAGGCUGGUUUUCCAGGCAAAUCCGGAAAAUCAAGGCUGAGGCGUGAUGACGAGGCACUACGGUGCUGAAGCAACAAAUGCCCUGCUUCCAGGAAAAGCCUCUAAGCAUCAGGUAACAUCAAAUCGUACCCCAAACCGACACAGGUGGUCAGGUAGAGAAUACCAAGGCGCUUGAGAGAACUCGGGUGAAGGAACUAGGCAAAAUGGUGCCGUAACUUCGGGAGAAGGCACGCUGAUAUGUAGGUGAAGUCCCUCGCGGAUGGAGCUGAAAUCAGUCGAAGAUACCAGCUGGCUGCAACUGUUUAUUAAAAACACAGCACUGUGCAAACACGAAAGUGGACGUAUACGGUGUGACGCCUGCCCGGUGCCGGAAGGUUAAUUGAUGGGGUUAGCCGCAAGGCGAAGCUCUUGAUCGAAGCCCCGGUAAACGGCGGCCGUAACUAUAACGGUCCUAAGGUAGCGAAAUUCCUUGUCGGGUAAGUUCCGACCUGCACGAAUGGCGUAAUGAUGGCCAGGCUGUCUCCACCCGAGACUCAGUGAAAUUGAACUCGCUGUGAAGAUGCAGUGUACCCGCGGCAAGACGGAAAGACCCCGUGAACCUUUACUAUAGCUUGACACUGAACAUUGAGCCUUGAUGUGUAGGAUAGGUGGGAGGCUUUGAAGUGUGGACGCCAGUCUGCAUGGAGCCGACCUUGAAAUACCACCCUUUAAUGUUUGAUGUUCUAACGUUGACCCGUAAUCCGGGUUGCGGACAGUGUCUGGUGGGUAGUUUGACUGGGGCGGUCUCCUCCUAAAGAGUAACGGAGGAGCACGAAGGUUGGCUAAUCCUGGUCGGACAUCAGGAGGUUAGUGCAAUGGCAUAAGCCAGCUUGACUGCGAGCGUGACGGCGCGAGCAGGUGCGAAAGCAGGUCAUAGUGAUCCGGUGGUUCUGAAUGGAAGGGCCAUCGCUCAACGGAUAAAAGGUACUCCGGGGAUAACAGGCUGAUACCGCCCAAGAGUUCAUAUCGACGGCGGUGUUUGGCACCUCGAUGUCGGCUCAUCACAUCCUGGGGCUGAAGUAGGUCCCAAGGGUAUGGCUGUUCGCCAUUUAAAGUGGUACGCGAGCUGGGUUUAGAACGUCGUGAGACAGUUCGGUCCCUAUCUGCCGUGGGCGCUGGAGAACUGAGGGGGGCUGCUCCUAGUACGAGAGGACCGGAGUGGACGCAUCACUGGUGUUCGGGUUGUCAUGCCAAUGGCACUGCCCGGUAGCUAAAUGCGGAAGAGAUAAGUGCUGAAAGCAUCUAAGCACGAAACUUGCCCCGAGAUGAGUUCUCCCUGACUCCUUGAGAGUCCUGAAGGAACGUUGAAGACGACGACGUUGAUAGGCCGGGUGUGUAAGCGCAGCGAUGCGUUGAGCUAACCGGUACUAAUGAACCGUGAGGCUUAACCUU
This 2904-nucleotide ribosomal RNA is filed under the name Escherichia coli. RNAcentral's name for it is "bacterial LSU rRNA". It matches the Rfam family "Bacterial large subunit ribosomal RNA". The record is from RNAcentral. Lineage: Bacteria; Pseudomonadati; Pseudomonadota; Gammaproteobacteria; Enterobacterales; Enterobacteriaceae.